AUGACCUCCGAUCAGGU
This 17-nucleotide ribosomal RNA is filed under the name Podosphaera xanthii. RNAcentral's name for it is "partial 28S ribosomal RNA". The record is from RNAcentral. Lineage: Eukaryota; Fungi; Ascomycota; Leotiomycetes; Helotiales; Erysiphaceae.